AUUGAACGCUGGCGGCAUGCCUUACACAUGCAAGUCGAACGGCAGCACGGGUGCUUGCACCUGGUGGCGAGUGGCGAACGGGUGAGUAAUACAUCGGAACAUGUCCUGUAGUGGGGGAUAGCCCGGCGAAAGCCGGAUUAAUACCGCAUACGAUCUACGGAUGAAGGCGGGGGACCUUCGGGCCUCGCGCUAUAGGGUUGGCCGAUAGCUGAUUAGCUAGUUGGUGGGAUAAAGGCCUACCAAGGCGACGAUCAGUAUCUGGUCUGAGAGGACGACCAGCCACACUGGGACUGAGACACGGCCCAGACUCCUACGGGAGGCAGCAGUGGGGAAUUUUGGACAAUGGGCGAAAGCCUGAUCCAGCAAUGCCGCGUGUGUGAAGAAGGCCUUCGGGUUGUAAAGCACUUUUGUCCGGAAAGAAAUCCUUGGCUCUAAUACAGUCGGGGGAUGACGGUACCGGAAGAAUAAGCACCGGCUAACUACGUG
RNAcentral lists this ribosomal RNA (486 nucleotides) under uncultured bacterium. Its description in RNAcentral is "partial 16S ribosomal RNA". It matches the Rfam family "Bacterial small subunit ribosomal RNA", at positions 30 to 507 of the family's 1533-position model. The record is from RNAcentral.